GCACUGCAGCCACUGGGAAUGGACCUGGAGGGCUGUGGCUUUAGUGGGGGCCCCUGGACUGCACGCUGCGUGCAGUUGGCAUUCUUCACCUGUGCUUCUGAGUUACCUCUUCCAGUUCUGUUUUGUACAAAAGGAAUCCAGUUCGCACACCUGGGGCCUGCUCUGUGAUACAAAGUGCAGCAUGAGCCUGUCAUACAGAAGUACCAUUUUACAGAGCACAGACACAGAGAGAAUUAAUGAUGUGCAUAAGUCUGCGUAAGGAAAUAUGUUACAGAACUGAUCUUGGGUUUUCUCAGCUUACGAUGUUUAGUCACUGGACUGGCUCUCCUCGUGCUCUGCAGCACAGUUACAUUCCUUUCUUGCUGUGGCUCUUGGUCAUCCCAUCCAGCACAUCCAAGGAGGCUGCCACAGAUACAGUGAUCAGAAGUUCCAGCAAGAAGACCCUUAUUGACCACGUUUUCUCCUUGCAUCCUGAGUUACAGAAUGGUUGGUUGUACACCUGCCUUUGUGAAGUCAGCUGGAGCUCAAAAGUUGGUUGUACUGAGCUUGGACACCACAUUCAGACCAAAGCUAAUCUGCACGUUUUUGAUUACUGCUCCUCAGGACUAGGACUGUGUCUUUUCUGCCUGCGCACCUCCACCAGGUGGAGGAUACAGACUUGA
RNAcentral lists this long non-coding RNA (662 nucleotides) under Anas platyrhynchos (mallard). RNAcentral describes it as "lncRNA (ENSAPLG00020001186.1)". The record is from RNAcentral. Lineage: Eukaryota; Metazoa; Chordata; Aves; Anseriformes; Anatidae.